UACGGGGGGAGCAAGCGUUGUUCGGAUUUACUGGGCGUAAAGGGCGCGUAGGCGGUAGCACAAGUCAGUUGUGAAAUCUCCGGGCUUAACUCGGAAAGGUCAACUGAUACUGUGCGACUAGAGUGCAGAAGGGGCAACUGGAAUUCUCGGUGUAGCGGUGAAAUGCGUAGAUAUCAAGAGGAACACCUGCGGCGAAGGCGGGUUGCUGGGCCGACACUGACGCUGAGGCGCGAAAGCUAGGGGAGCGAACGGG
Molecule: ribosomal RNA, 253 nt
Filed under: uncultured bacterium
Lineage: Bacteria
Description: partial 16S ribosomal RNA
Rfam family: Bacterial small subunit ribosomal RNA
Source: RNAcentral